AACAAACGCUGGCGGCAUGCCUAUCACAUGCAAGUCGAACGAGACCUUCGGGUCUAGUGGCGCACGGGUGCGUAACGCGUGGGAACCUGCCCUUAGGUUCGGAAUAACUCCCCGAAAGGGGUGCUAAUACCGGAUAAUGUCUUCGGACCAAAGAUUUAUCGCCUUUGGAUGGGCCCGCGUUGGAUUAGCUAGUUGGUAGGGUAAAAGCCUACCAAGGCGACGAUCCAUAGCUGGUCUGAGAGGAUGAUCAGCCACACUGGGACUGAGACACGGCCCAGACUCCUACGGGAGGCAGCAGUGGGGAAUAUUGGACAAUGGGCGAAAGCCUGAUCCAGCAAUGCCGCGUGAGUGAUGAAGGCCUUAGGGUUGUAAAGCUCUUUUACCCGGGAUGAUAAUGACAGUACAGGGAGAAUAAGCUCCGGCUAACUCCGUG
This 433-nucleotide ribosomal RNA is filed under the name uncultured bacterium. Its description in RNAcentral is "partial 16S ribosomal RNA". It matches the Rfam family "Bacterial small subunit ribosomal RNA", at positions 29 to 507 of the family's 1533-position model. The record is from RNAcentral.